Molecule: ribosomal RNA, 253 nt
Filed under: uncultured bacterium
Lineage: Bacteria
Description: partial 16S ribosomal RNA
Rfam family: Bacterial small subunit ribosomal RNA
Source: RNAcentral
UACAGAGGUCUCAAGCGUUGUUCGGAUUCAUUGGGCGUAAAGGGUGUGUAGGUGGCGCCGUAAGUCGGGUGUGAAAUUUCGGAGCUUAACUCCGAAACUGCAUUCGAUACUGCGGUGCUUGAGGACUGGAGAGGAGACUGGAAUUCAUGGUGUAGCGGUGAAAUGCGUAGAUAUUAGGAAGAACACCAGUGGCGAAGGCGGCUCACUGGCCCGGUACUGACGCUGAGGCGCGAAAGCGUGGGGAGCAAACAGG